UGGUGGAGUGAUUUGUCUGGUUAAUUCCGAUAACGAACGAGACUCUGUCUUGCUAACUAGGUUGUGUUUUCUCGGGUUGGUGUUUCUGGUGUUCCUUCUCGGGGCGCCGGCCCAAUCCACUUGUGAACACAACACUCUUCUUAGAGGGACUGGCGGCUGUUAGCCGCACGAGAUAGAGCAAUAACA
This 186-nucleotide ribosomal RNA is filed under the name uncultured eukaryote. RNAcentral's name for it is "partial 18S ribosomal RNA". It matches the Rfam family "Eukaryotic small subunit ribosomal RNA", at positions 1299 to 1458 of the family's 1831-position model. The record is from RNAcentral.